GUAUACGACAGUCUUCCUUUGAACCGCGCAAGAGUAGUUUUAAAGAGCUUGGAGCCCGAGUUUCACCUGAUGCCAAAUUUGGAAGUUAAACAGCAUCAGAUAACCAUCAAAACAACAAAAGUAUCGAAGAAGACUCCUUUCUCGUUCUGCGUAAAACACCUUCAUAACACUGAAAUCACAAGAUCGUUAACGACCGGUAACGAACGUUUAUAUGACAGAUGGAU
Long non-coding RNA from Dendronephthya gigantea, 224 nucleotides. RefSeq lists it as uncharacterized. NCBI's taxonomy places the organism in Eukaryota, Metazoa, Cnidaria, Anthozoa, Malacalcyonacea, Nephtheidae. The transcript has 3 exons. The record is from RefSeq and is a predicted model, not a curated record.